RNAcentral lists this ribosomal RNA (358 nucleotides) under Tetragnatha sp. RNAcentral's name for it is "partial large subunit ribosomal RNA". Lineage: Eukaryota; Metazoa; Arthropoda; Arachnida; Araneae; Tetragnathidae. The record is from RNAcentral.
AAUCAUUAGUCCCUUAAUUAGGGACUGGAAUGAAUGGUUUAACAUUUCCUUAACUUUUUUAAAAAUUAAUAAAAAAUUUAUAUUAAAUAUAAAAAUAUAUUUAUAUACUAACUAGACGACAAGACCCUUUCAAACUUAACUGAAGUUAAGCUGGGGCAGCUUAAUAAUUAAUAUCUUAUUAUUUUUAUUAAAAAUAGACCCAACUCAAAUUGAUUAAAUGAACAAGUUACUGAAGGGAUAACAGCAUAAUAAAUUUACACAGCUCUUAUUAAAAAAUUAGUUUAUGACCUCGAUGUUGAAUUAUUUUACUUCCACACGCAAGCGUGUGGAAAGAAGGUCUGUUCGACCUUUAAAUUUU